UACAGAGGUCCCAAGCGUUGUUCGGAUUUACUGGGCGUAAAGGGCGCGUAGGCGGCCACCGCAAGUCAAUUGUGAAAUCUCCGGGCUUAACUCGGAAAGGUCAACUGAUACUGCGGGGCUAGAGUGCGGAAGGGGCAACUGGAAUUCUCGGUGUAGCGGUGAAAUGCGUAGAUAUCGAGAGGAACACCUGCGGCGAAGGCGGGUUGCUGGGCCGACACUGACGCUGAGGCGCGAAAGCCAGGGGAGCGAACAGG
This 254-nucleotide ribosomal RNA is filed under the name uncultured bacterium. RNAcentral's name for it is "partial 16S ribosomal RNA". It matches the Rfam family "Bacterial small subunit ribosomal RNA", at positions 524 to 776 of the family's 1533-position model. The record is from RNAcentral.